GAAGCCCUCUCCCCCGUAGGGUCCCAUUUAAAGCUUCCUAUUUCUGACAAGGACUUGGGAGAUGGAAAUACAGUGUGACGCCUUGUGUCUCCCAGGCUUUCAAAGACAGAGGAGAAGCACAAGCUUCUGGAAGCUUUAAGGUGAAGCACAGACUCACCAUGGUUAGCAUCCUGAUGGCUAUGCCCCUCUCCUUAAGAGACACAAGUUCACACAUUCUCCCCACCAGCUCAUCCCAAGCGUGUUCCUGGGGUGAACGGAGGAAGUGAUACUAGGAUAAGUGCACGCACCUGGAGUUCCUGGGUGCAAACAGCAGUGGGACCAGAGCUGCUUCCAACCGCCAUGGACAAAACACUGUAGAGUGUGAAGUCCCGGAAGUAGAUUAGAUAGGGAAGCCAAUUGAAAAUGCAACUAAGAUUUUGCUCUCACAAACCAAGUGCUCCCAGAAUAGAAACAAGAAAUAGAGAACGGCAAGGCGAUCACACGCAGGACAGCCCGCGGUGUCACUGUGAGCAUAAUUACUUUCAGAAAUCCAUCAUUUCUCUCCCUCUCAUUAUUAUUUAGCUGGAGAGAAAGAUGCUUUCUUGCCACGCUUUUUUCCCUGUGCUCCUUAAUCUGCUCUGCACGGCGAGUCUUGCAUAUUUAUUUCCCCGAUCGGUUUGUGGUGUUGUGCUGUUGCGCUGGAAUGGGAGAGGGCAUAUGGUCUGGUAGAAAUAGCAUAGGAUACACUCCCAAAGACUGCAGACAAUGGGAUGGACUUUGAACCACAUCUGUAUUCCCAGGGCCUGGGCAAACUUGUCUUUGCCUGGGGGAUCCCUUCCUGCUAUACUGGGGCCCUGCUAUUUGGGUAGCUAGGCUGACAGGUGCUUCAAAAGUCUUCCAUUCUCUCUCUCAUUCAGAAAUGAAAAUCUAAUUUAUCUGCAUGUAAAAAUGUACCAGAAAACCUGAAGGUGAGGCCUGCUGAGAGUCUUCCCAUCAGCAAAAUCGAUUUGAAGAGCUAGAAGCAUAAUGAGUCUUCAGUAGCUAGGUUUGAAACUAGAGCUCCCUCUGUCCUUCCAACAAGAGGCGCAUGCAGGAGUUUAUGUCUGUUGAAUGGGAAGGAUGCCGGCAUGGUGCUGUUUCUGAUGACCGUUCUGUAAGACAUUGUGAGCCUCCCGCUCUUUGUGCAGCUCUAGAGAGGGCUUACCCUACAUUAGAGUCUUUAAAGGAAGACUUCAGUCAUUCUUGUAUGGGCCCUUCCUCAGUCUGUCUGUCUUGUCUCUGUCUGUCUCUUCCUCUCCUUCCUCCUCCUCUCCCCACUCUGUGUGUGUGUGUCUGUUUGUGUGUGUGAAGGAGAGGUAGAUAGAUAGAUAGAUAGAUAGAUAGAUAGAUAGAUAGAUAGAUAGAUGGAUGGAUGGAUGGAUGGAUGGAUGGAUAGAUAGAUAGAUAGAUAGAUAGAUAGAUAGAUAGAUAGAUAGAUAGGUACAGUUGACUGAUGAAGGGCUGACUGAAUCUUGGUGACACAUAUUUAUCCAGACAUUUGUUAAGUGACAAGUAUAAAGCCAUUUGCGACUGUUUUUAAACACAUAUAAACCACCAAUGACAAGUGUAUCCAAAGGGGCAUGCACCUAGCUGUUGCUGGAAUUAGCUUUCUAUUUUCUUCAGCUAAACGGAUGCCAUCCCCGAAACGGUGGCCUUGAUCUCAUGAUCCGAAAGCACACCCACUAAAGCAGAAGAGACCUGUGAAGACUGGGUCACACUUAGCUCUUUGACCUACAGCUACAGUCUUCCCACCAGUAAAUUAAAGCUCCUUCCUCUUUGAUUUUGGCAGUAACAACAUGGUAAAGGCCUCAGAAGGAGUCAGGGACAUCUGGUGUUCUUGUGUAGUAGACUGAAAGGCUUCCAGAAGCCCAGUGCAGCUGCUCCACAGGGUCACAUGGUGUGGUACAUCGAUUCUGCUUUUCAGGAUGCAUCUGGGGUGCCCCAGCAAUUUUCCAAAAGCAAUGUGAUAAAAAAAAAAAAAAAAGAAUAAUUUCUGGUACGGAGGGGGUCCCUAAGACCCCUGCUCUCUGUUCUAAGUUACCGAGUAGAAAUUGUGACAAUACCUUUAUACACCCCAGUUUAUGACCCCAGAUUAGCUCUCUGCUGCUGUGAAGUGUGUGCAUGACAAAAUGGACCAAGAGUUCAGCAACUUCCGUGUACUGUGGAUGCCUGUCGUUGUCUUCUGCUGUUCCCUUAAAAUGACAAUGAAGGCCACGUGAGAACACAGUUCCCCUAUCCUCAUAGUCCCCGUGUCUCUCCAGGCAGAGAGUGUUGGUUGAAAAGACACUCCUGACCAGCCUCUUGUUAUAUUUAGGCUUCUGCAAACACAAGGUGCCGUACAAGGUGUCCGUCACUGUGAUUGAUUGAAUUAGUGGGUUAACGGUCAGACAGGUGGAAGGAAGCGUAGCUCUUUCACCUGUUCAUACCAGGCCACCUCGUUCUUAUGCAUGGCCCACUAGAAUCCUGGUGCUUCCCCCAUUCAAGAAUUUUAGGGCUGAUAGCACAAUUCAGUGGUUUAGCUCGUUCCCACAGCCUGGAUAUGAUCCCCAGCACUGGAAAACAUAAGUUUAAAGUUUUAAUUUGGUCAGAGAUGCUACAGUCAUGGUGAUGGGAACACAGUUAGAGAUGCUGCAGUCACAAUGGAGGGGACACUCACAGAGAUGCUGCAGUCACAAUGGUGGGGACAUUCAUGGUUAGAGAUGCUGCAGUCACAAUGGUGGGGACACUCAAGGUUAGAGAUGCUGCGGUCACAAUGGCGGGAAAUAUGCAGGCGCACGAGGCAGCCGUUCACAUUGCCUCAGCUGCCUGGAAGCAAGGAGAAGGAAACCUGAAAUGCUGGUUCAGUGAUGGAGCACUGGGCUACCGUGCACAGGGUGCAGAAUUUGAGCCCCAGUAUCACCAAAACAAAGGAGCAAACAAACCCAGCAGGCUGCGAGCUAACAGAUACCGCUUAGACCUGAUUUUGUAAGCCGAUUGCAGUGGUGGUAAAUAGCCAAAAUAAAUAAGCAAGUUAAUUAAGAAACAAAGAGUACCUGACUACAGGUAAUAGAAGCAGGACUGGUGGGACCAGUAGCUGAGUUAGUCUUGUUCAAUAGUAACCAAGGUACGGUUGUUCAAUAGCGCCUCCUAGUGGGCGACAGAACUGUACGGCCUAGUGAAACCCACAACUUCCUUUCUUCAAGAGCUUGAGAACCCACGUUUUACCUUGUGUUUAAAAUGCUCCCCAUUACUCAAACUACUUCAGAAUUCAUCUUCUUGUUCCCAUUGCAAGUGUGAACCAUGGAGCAUGAUGGGAAGCUCACCGGGCAUUUAUGGGAGGCCUUGAGAACACAGUUGGCAACUAUCAGAAUAAAUUCCAAACCGCUGAUUUAAGUACUGACCACUCAAACUAAACUCAUUCACGAGGGACUGCUUUAGAAAAGAUGUUCACACAUUUUAUAGAUAGUGCUGACACAGGGCAAAUCAAAUGCUGUGCCAGGUAGUUCGUUUGUUUGUUCCUUGUAUAUAAGUGACCACUAGACCCCACCCCACCCCUCAGGGCCCUUGAUCAGUAUUGCAGUGUUUGUGAGUUAAUUUGCGUUGCAGUAUUCAAAUGAGAGCAUCUACUAGAAGCAACAAAUGCACAGAAAAAAAUUUUUAAAUGGUGUGUCACAUGAUAAAUUCUAGUUUUCACCAAUCUAACAAUAAAAAAUAUCCAGCAGAAUUAAAACAAAUAUUAAAUGAUGGAUGCUUGGUUUCUAUAGAACCAAAGUCAUUCCUGAGGGCUGGAGAGAUGGCUCAGCAAUUAGAACGUUGACUGCUCUUCCAGAGGUCUUGAGUUCAAGUCCCAGCAACUACAUGGUCUCUCAUAACAAUCUGUAGUGGGAUCCAAUGCCCUCCUCUGGUUUUCUUAAAGUCAUUCUUAUAAAAGAGUGCCAAGCUGAUUUAGGAAGCCCUUCCGGCGUAUUCUCUGCCACGGUUGGGGCUGUGUAACCUGAACAUUCUCACCGUGUGACCUUUGAGGUUUGUCUCACGGAGACCUAAAGUCUCAUACAGUGUGCUUUCUCGAUCCUUGUUCGACCUCCAGUUCACACAGUCCUCUCAUAGUCCUGGAUAGUCCACAGUGCCUCAAGUGUAGUGACGGAGACCAUCCCUAUCUGAACUACAGGCUAGAGAGAGCUCACUGUCCAGAAUCCCUCCUUCCUCGGGAAUGCUGCUACUUGGGUGAUCAAGUCAAAGAUCUCCCUGCUGGUCAUUUCUAUUCUUCCUUCUCCACACCUUCUGUGUCCAUCAAAAAGAGAAUAUAUCAUAGUGAUUAACUAAAGGCUGUUAGGAGACAGCCUCAUUUAGUAAUGGUAUGGCCACGGCAAGGUAUGCCACCUCAGCCUCGCCCAUCUGUAUAGUGUGCAUAAAUAUCGCCUGCCUUAAAGGGUUGUUGUAAGACUUAGUCAAGGCAAGAUCCACAGUCCUUAACAUACACUGAACAUUUGGUAAUGAUCUAUCGUGAGGCGUGACUUUGGAAAGCCGUGACUUUAGAUUUCUCAGUAAUCUCUACAGCUGGAAAAGGAGGGAAGCUUGCAGGAAGUCAGAAGACGAGAGGGGUGUGUGUGCAUGGGGGUGUGGGGUGGGGUGAGUCAAGUGGGCAAAGCGAAUGGGCAAGACUGAGGGAAGAAAACAGGGAGGGGUCAUCUUAGUGCAUCAGUCACAGCUGAUCUGUGAUUGUGGGCUCUUCUGCCUCGAAGACUUGCCACUUCUGUAUGUCUGCCUUAGGAAAGGGGAAGCACUGUCUUCUGGUGAACUUCACGUUUCUCGAGGGAGGAUGUUAACGGGAAACACUGCCACAUUGGCAUGCCUGAUCAGAGGAUAACAAGCACAUAUCAUCCCAGUCAGUAGGCAUUUGCUUAAACAGUCUGAAUUCUUACCAGAAAUAUCCACGAGUUAGGACUUUGAAAUGAAGUCCACCACUGAGAUUUGACUUGGGGCCAGUUCCCCUUAACUGGUGCUGAAUUUUGGGUCUUGUACUAUGCCUGCUAUUUAAUAGAUCAUGCAUGUCCAAAUAUUUUUUAUUAUUAUUAUUUGAAUUAAAGGGAGACAUGGUUUCUGUCUUGCCAGUUUGUUUUUCAAAGCCACGCAUCCGUCAGAAUGUUAUAAUGCACUGUUAGCCUUUCUCCAGCAGGAGGCAGCAUUGCUCUAUUUUCUCCAGGAGAUAAUCAUGGUUUCCAGUCAAAACUCUGCAGAACCAAGGAGUCCCUCUUACUGUCUGAACAUGGCCUGUGUCUCCACACCAGUCUCAGGACCAGUGGUCAACAUCCAGUCCUGGAAUCCAUGUGCUGCCCCGCCUGCUCCCUAGUCUGACCAGAAAGGCUCUCGCUUCCUUUCAGUGCACAGGAGCAAUUCCAAGUCCUGAGCUUCUCCACCUAAAGGUCUUCUCCCUUGAUGUCCUUCCAGCUUUCCUGCCUGCACCCAUUACUUGUCCCUGGCCCUGUGUGCCUGGCAGUGACUUCUGGGAUUUCCCUCUCCCUCUCUAGAUGACAGCCAAUGACCUCCAGGAUUCCCUAUCUGUUCCCAUCCCUCCCUGGCCUGGCCUUGAACUGCCUCUCUCCCCAGGCAUGGUCCUCUAGAAACCCUGGAAUCCUCUUCUUGGACCACUUUCUUCUAACAUAUCCUCCACCCCCUGGGCCUUUUUCUCUUCUGGGCCCCAAUAUUCCCUUGUGGAGAAGCCCAAAUGCACACCCGCCAUGCCUUCCUGAUUUGCACAGUGUUCCCAGACCAGGUUGGGGGAAGUCUCCCCAUUUAUGAGUGGUUUCCCCUAAUGAGAGCUGUCUAAUGACAUCGUGGGAGUGGAGGAGAUAGCCUCCAUCUGUGCUCAGAGGCUAUUUUCCUCUGCUUUAGAAUGUGAUGGCUUCCACCCCAAGUAGUUUUCAGUCAGGCCAACAGUAGCAUACUUUGCACUGCAUGAAAUUAUGACUAAGGGGUGGGUCUACGCCUCACAUGUUAAAAUUGUGUACCUUUUCCACAUUUUACAGAGCUAGCCCACUUCUAAAGCAGGAGCCAAUGUUAGACCUGAUCCUGGAGGUACACUUCUAAAGCACAGCCAAGGUUAGACCUGAUCCUGGAGGUACACUUCUAAAGCACAGCCAAGGUUAGACCUGAUCCUGGAGGUAGACAGCUGAUAUGUAUAAGGCCUUCCUAGUCUUCUGCCAUUCAUGGCCUACACCACAAGGCCUCUGUCCUCCCAGGUCUCGGUGUAGUAAUGCAGACAGGGCUCUUGACAAAGAACUUAAGGACUGUCUUUGCACUCUGGGCUGUGGCUUUAUCCACUUCACAAGCUCUGCCUAGAGAUCCAGGCUCAGAGAAAUGGAGGAGAAGGGGCACACAGCCCAGGCGAGGGGUGGCUUCAGCCCUCGAGCCCGUUUUUGUCUGACUCAGCGCUGUACAGCCGAAUGUUCUGUUUUUUUUUUUUUUUUUCUAGCCAACUCUUUUUAAAGUAGACAUAUCAUUUCUCGGUCUAUGUUUUUGUAGGCUCUCAGAAGUUUCUGUCAGGCUGUGAUGCCCUACUUUGUCUAGUGUUACAAAGCCGUCUAGUGCUGAACUGUAAGAGGGUACAAUAAAAAAAAAAAAGUCAGACACUGGCAUUACCGUCUGCUGUGUGGUGCCUAGGGCAUCCAUCUCUCCCCCACAAACCCACAGAGGAAUCCAGCACGACCCUGAUGGCGAGAAGACAGUGGGAGCUUAGGAUGCUCGCCUCCACGCUCUGCUUGGCAAAGCAGACCUGACUGGAACAGUGUGUCAAAGCACAGAUUCCUGGAGUCUUACCUUGUGGUUUCUAACUAUUCAUUAAAGUGGUACUAAGACCCUUCGAUGAGACCCGAUGUUACCAAAAAGAUGUGUACUAGAAAUGAGCCUUUACUGUUCCCAUCUCCCUUCAAGACUUGAGCGCAGCUGCAUGGUGUCCUCUCACCACCAUGUUACUUAUCGCUGCUGUACACAGGCUACCACAUCUUGAGUGAUUUCCAUGAGACAUUAUUUAGUUCUUUUAUUCCAUCACCCUUUCCUCUACUUCUACCCCCACCCCCCGCUCUCCUAAUAGGACAGGCAUUUUGACUUCACAGUCCCAUCUAUUACGUCACUGCAGAGGUUUGCCGACGACCCAUGCUGUAUCUCGUAGUUACUCACUAGUGUAUCACAGUCAUGUCUGAAUUCUAGCACCAGAUAUUGCUUUUUCUGGAAUUAAUUAAUGCCUUUCUCUAAAAUAAAAUACUUAGCUUUAUUUUUACUUAUCAAAUCUUGAUGUUGCAUCAAUAUUAUUUCAGUAUUAUCAGAUGUUUGUUCUCCCUCCCCCUGCACUCCUACCAGAUCUCCGGUCUCCCAUUUCCCAUGGACCCUGUCCUUGAUGCGGUAUGUGUCCCUGCAUUACCUCCUAACACAAGGUGCAGGGGUGGAGUUGGACUCCAUGUUUUGCUACUAAACAGAAUACCACAGACUGGGUAAAUUAUGAAAACUACAGGUUUACUGAGCUUGUGGUUCUAGAGGGUUGGAAGUCCUAGGUAGCGAGGCCAUGUCUGUGUGAGGGACACC
Rattus norvegicus (Norway rat) is the source of this 7575-nucleotide non-coding RNA. Lineage: Eukaryota; Metazoa; Chordata; Mammalia; Rodentia; Muridae. The record is from RefSeq and is a predicted model, not a curated record.